Molecule: ribosomal RNA, 492 nt
Filed under: uncultured bacterium
Lineage: Bacteria
Description: partial 16S ribosomal RNA
Rfam family: Bacterial small subunit ribosomal RNA
Source: RNAcentral
AGUGAACGCUGGCGGUAGGCCUAACACAUGCAAGUCGAACGGCAGCACAGUAAGAGCUUGCUCUUACUGGUGGCGAGUGGCGGACGGGUGAGGAAUACAUCGGAAUCUACUUUUUCGUGGGGGAUAACGUAGGGAAACUUACGCUAAUACCGCAUACGACCUACGGGUGAAAGCAGGGGAUCUUCGGACCUUGCGCGAUUGAAUGAGCCGAUGUCGGAUUAGCUAGUUGGCGGGGUAAAGGCCCACCAAGGCGACGAUCCGUAGCUGGUCUGAGAGGAUGAUCAGCCACACUGGAACUGAGACACGGUCCAGACUCCUACGGGAGGCAGCAGUGGGGAAUAUUGGACAAAGGGCGCAAGCCUGAUCCAGCCAUACCGCGUGGGUGAAGAAGGCCUUCGGGUUGUAAAGCCCUUUUGUUGGGAAAGAAAAGCAGCAGGUUAAUACCCCGCUGUUCUGACGGUACCCAAAGAAUAAGCACCGGCUAACUUCGUG